AUUGAACGCUGGCGGCAGGCCUAACACAUGCAAGUCGAACGAGUGGCGGACGGGUGAGUAAUGUAUGGGGAUCUGCCCGAUGGAGGGGGAUAACUACUGGAAACGGUAGCUAAUACCGCAUACCAUCAGAUGAACCCAUAUGGGUUUAGCUAGUAGGUGGGGUAAAGGCUCACCAAGGCGACGAUCCCUAGCUGGUCUGAGAGGAUGAUCAGCCACACUGGAACUGAGACACGGCCCAGACUCCUACGGGAGGCAGCAGUGGGGAAUAUUGCACAAUGGGCGCAAGCCUGAUGCAGCCAUGCCACGUGUAGGAAGAAGGCCUGAGGGUUGUAAAGUACUUUCAGCGGGGAGGCGUUACCCGCAGAAGAAGCACCGGCUAACUCCGUGCCAGCAGCCGCGGUAAUAC
This 406-nucleotide ribosomal RNA is filed under the name uncultured bacterium. Its description in RNAcentral is "partial 16S ribosomal RNA". It matches the Rfam family "Bacterial small subunit ribosomal RNA", at positions 30 to 526 of the family's 1533-position model. The record is from RNAcentral.